RNAcentral lists this long non-coding RNA (377 nucleotides) under Nicotiana benthamiana. Its description in RNAcentral is "long non-coding RNA (NBEN_LNC025419)". The record is from RNAcentral. Lineage: Eukaryota; Viridiplantae; Streptophyta; Magnoliopsida; Solanales; Solanaceae.
UCUCUAUGUUGCUCUGAAUGCCCCAACUCCCCUAGCUCUAUGUUACGAUCCCCCACAUCGUUAAGUAAGUCUCGAAAGUAUUCCUGCCACCUCUGCUUAACUUGAGACUCCCCCAUCAGAACUCUACCAUCCUCGCCCUUGAUGCACCUAACUUGGUCCAGAUCACGCGCCUUCUUUUCCCUUUCUCUAGCUAACCGGAAUAACUUCCUGUGCCCGCCUUUCUCCCCUAAUUCCUCGUACAUGCGACCAAAUGCCGCGUUUUUGGCUUCCGUAACCGCCAUCUUUGCUUCUUUCCUUGCCGCCUUGUAGAUAUCCCUGUUCGCUCUCCGUUCUUCCUCGCUUGUGCUCCCUGCCAUCUUAGCAAACGUCUCCUUCUU